ACUUUCAACAACGGAUCUCUUGGUUCUCGCAUCGAUGAAGAACGCAGCGAAAUGCGAUAAGUAGUGUGAAUUGCAGAAUUCAGUGAAUCAUCGAAUCUUUGAACGCACAUUGCGCCUCCUGGUAUUCCGGGAGGCAUGCCUGUCCGCGCA
This 150-nucleotide ribosomal RNA is filed under the name Otidea rainierensis. RNAcentral describes it as "5.8S ribosomal RNA". It matches the Rfam family "5.8S ribosomal RNA". From Rfam's summary of the family: 5.8S ribosomal RNA (5.8S rRNA) is a component of the large subunit of the eukaryotic ribosome. Lineage: Eukaryota; Fungi; Ascomycota; Pezizomycetes; Pezizales; Pyronemataceae. The record is from RNAcentral.